RNAcentral lists this long non-coding RNA (311 nucleotides) under Lathyrus oleraceus (garden pea). Its description in RNAcentral is "Pisum sativum (pea) long non-coding RNA (PSAT_LNC040911)". Lineage: Eukaryota; Viridiplantae; Streptophyta; Magnoliopsida; Fabales; Fabaceae. The record is from RNAcentral.
AAAGAUUUAAAAAAAAGACCCUCCAACGGUCACAAAGAGAAAAGGAAAAUAAAAAAGGAACAAAGGACCACUAACGGCACACCACUACCAAUGUCUCUCUGGUCACUAAAAAACAAAGAAAGAAAAAACUCUCCAAUAAAAAAAUGCUACCUCUCUUCUCUCUCUAGCUCACUCACCUCACUCCUCAAUAAUUCUCUCUCUGCUGGAAAAAGCGAAAAAAAAGAAGAGAAAAAGAAUAAAAGAGGCACAAACACUCCACUGACUCCAAAAAAAAACUAGCCUACUCUCUCUCUGCUGAGCAUAAAACGAAA